Long non-coding RNA from Columba livia (rock pigeon), 8218 nucleotides. RefSeq lists it as uncharacterized. The record is from RefSeq and is a predicted model, not a curated record. The transcript is spliced from 5 exons. NCBI's taxonomy places the organism in Eukaryota, Metazoa, Chordata, Aves, Columbiformes, Columbidae.
AGAAGAAAAGGAGCUAAAGGAAUGACAGAAGAAAGCGCCAGCACGUGGAGGGGAGUGUUGAACCCAACAGAUCCUUUUCACAGAGAAGUCUGAGGAGCUCAGAGUGAUGAAGGAUGGGACGUAGCUUGUAAGAGGAAACUUGGGCAUAGAGAAGUUAUGGGAAAGGAGAGGGACAAAGUGCUUCUGACGUUGAUAGAAAAUGUUUAAUCUUACUCUUGAAGCAGUCUGUUGACUUAAGAGAAAAAAUAAGACAUCUGCUUAAGUUAGAAGAUGGAGAAGAGGUGCAGAUGGGCAGGAGCAUUGAUAGACUUGGCCUCGGAUAUCCAUUAUUGAGCAUAUCCUCUGUCUAAACUCUGACAGUGUGUUUCCAAGACAAGCUUGGAAGUAGCAGAACGGUUUUGAAAAUUGACCCGUGAGCUGAAACUGCUCAUCGGUUUGUGGAAAUGGAGCCGGUAUUUGCAUCCCUCCAUGCUGCUGGGUUCUGUGCACGUGUUUCUGCUUUUAGUACAGGACACCACUAAUAUAAAGGGAAAUUUUCAGAUACAUAUAUGCAGACAUAUAGAUAAUAUAUAAUAUUAUGUGGCGUGUAUUUAUUAGAUAUUAUUUAAUGCAGAAUUUGUUCAAAAUAACUCAGAAAGAUAGCAUUUAACUUUGUGUGACAAAGCAGAGCACACAUUGUAUAUUCAGUCUUAUAGUUCAAAUUCAGUUUCGGUCAAGGACCAAAAAUGUGUAAAUGAUUAGACUGUAAAAUAACAAAUCUAAAUGAAUCUUGGUGAAUUUCCUGCUAACACAGUAUGGUACAUAGUUUCAAGUGGUAUCUUUUACCAGAUCUUAUGCUCAAGUUGGUACAGGACUAUCAAACUGAUUAUAUCAGUAGGAUCUUUCAAAACAACCUAACUCAAAUAAAAACAUCUUUGGAGAUGGCAGUACUACAUGUACCUGCUGAAACCUGAACCUUUCCUAAGAGACUUACUGUUCGGUACUUGGACGACUAAGCCGUGCUUGUCCACGGUCUCGUCGUUCCGCAUUACUCUGUGCAUUUUCUUGUUUUCUUCCUGAAUACUUUUCUCUCCGCACAUCACUGUGUCCCUGUAAGUUUGCAGUGAGUCAUUUCAAGCAACUCCAGCCUUGCCGUGGCUCUUGAGGAGGCAGCAGAGCUUUGAUAGAGAGUGUUUGUUGGCAGUUUCUUCCUUCGUACUCCCAGCUGUGUUCUUACUCUCAGCUGAAAUACUUAAGCAGAAAUUUUAAGAGCAGAAAUGUCUAUUAGGCUGAUGUAAACUGACUGACAAAUAUAACUUCCCUCAGGAAUUCCACAUCAAUUCUAUAAUUUCCCUUUUGCCAGCGUCUCGAGGAAAAUGCUCCAUCUUGACAUAAAGCAAAAGAGAAGCAAUUUGAAGUAUUGCACAAGCUAUGAACAUCAGCUAAUAAGUCUUUUGCUGGGGUAGCAGCUGUCCUCUGUGACUUAGAGAUAAGAAGCAGACAGCUCAUACAACAGAUUUGUCCAGAAAUAUGUAGCAUUUCUUUAUCUGUUUCAGAAAUAAAAAUAUAGGUUCAUACCCCUUGAAAAAGUGCUUCAUUCCUACAGCUAUGCCUUAGCCCUUUAUCCUUACCCUGUUCCAGAUUUACUAUAGAAGCACCUUCUGGUCCUGCUCACACAUUUUUACCAAAAUAGGUUUUAGGGUUUGUUUGGGUUUGUUUUUUUUCACAUCCAAGUAUAAUGUAUUUUGUUAUCGACACUUUUAUAUGUGCUGAUAUUUCUUUAAAACCUGUGAAAACUCUUGCUUUGGAAAAUUGAUUCUUCUCCUUCCUAGUAUUACAUAUCACAUUUAUAGAGGUUCAUAGUGUUUUUCAUGUUUCUGUUGGUUUUAAAUUGUGUAUCAAUGACAAUUGAUAAUUGCGAUACAUAAGUAUGUCGUAUCGAGAGUGCGAUUGAUCGUGUUUUGGUCCGGCUGCCUGGUGAUGUUCCACCACAGCUCUUCUUUUGGCAGUAUGAGAAGAUCAGCAGCUCCAGAGCACAAUUCAACUCAUCUUAAAAUAGGUGGCGAAGCAGAAAUGAAUCCUAUUCAGAGUCAAACUGCCCUGUGAAAAACAGGAAGACACUUGAACGUACACAAGAAGGACAAAUAUUUAUGUUGGUGCUAAGGAGCAGUUGUCCUUCACUAGUUUAAAAAUAAAAUGAAAGCAAAAUGUGUUCUGUCAAAGUACAUCCCAUUAUAGCACCGGGAGCAGUGCACUGUCUCAAUGUGGUGCUACAAAACGGUGCACAAAAGCUACAGAAUGCAAGAAGGGAAUUUUCAAUCAGCUGGGAGCGCAUGCAGAACCAGUUGGGUUUUUCUUUUAGCUUCUGUGUUGAAGAUUCUGAAAUUCCAGCGUGCUGUGCGUGCUCCGGUGUUGCAGAGGAGCGUAACUUCAGUCGGCUCUUCCAAUUAUCCUCCUCAUUUCCCAGCAUUUGCCACUGGCCACGAGCAAGAACGGGAAACCCCUGGCUCGUUCCCUAGUUUAGUUCUGAGUUAAGAACACAUUAUUAAUGUUUCUUUCCCCACAGAGACGGUGGGCGCUCCCCUGCGAAAGGCCAAGGGAGCUGGGUGACCCGUGGGGCUUGUCACGGAGCCAUCCCGCUCCGUCCCUGUUGUGACAGUCCCGGUGAACAGCCACAGCUGAACCCUGGGGAGCUCAAAGCCACCGGGCCCUGGAGUUUCUGACUCAAAGAAAACUUUGAAACGAAGACAUUGGGGUCUUUCUCUCUGCCUCCCCCUUUUCUCUUUGAAGAAGUGUGUGUUGAUGGAAGUGGACGACGCAGGGAGUCAAUCAAGGGGGUAUCAGAGCCCGGGAGGGGAUCGCCCGCAGCAGCAGAGAAGACACAAUUACUACAACAACUGUCCAACCAACCACAGCCAGGAGACUCCACUUAAUCUAAUUGAGUGUGAAGGCAGGCUGGAGACACAGGACCCGCUCCUCCUUCCCCCUCCCACCACAUAGACACUAUUGGCUGCUAAUUGGCGCCAGUGGGCUGGUGCUAAUUGUGCUGAUGUCUUGGUCUGAGGACAGGCAUGUGAAAGAUGAAGGGGUCUGCUGGGAAUAGGAGGAGGGGAGAGCAAGGGAGACAGUGGUCAUAAAAGUUGGAACAGGGCUUUAAUUUCAUAUCAAAUAUUUAAGUAAGUGAGUGGAAGAUCUGUGAACUCUCUUUGUGGUAACCCGCAAAAGGCCUUGGAGAAUUCCACCCCCCUCCGGCCUCAGCAGUGCGCUGUCUGAAGUGCUGUGCUCCUCUUCCUCCUUAGCUUUGUUUAAUUAAUUGUGAGAAUCGCUAAUGAUCCUUUAUUCCUCUUCAUUCCUUCUCUGCUUUCUGACAUCACUGCUUCUUCAUGCUUUAAUUCAAAGAUUCAGAUUUUCCAGCUCUAGGGCUGUCCAGUGUUUACUGGCCUUCAUUGCGUGGACAUUUUGGCUGUGUAGAAUGACAGCAAAGGCUGCGAUCCUGUUCAUUACCCUGAAACUGGAUAAGAUCUGAUUUGUACAUGCAAGGCCAGGGUGAGCAGUGGUGGCCGUGUGCGGCGCUUUUCCUUAUAAAGGUCUGAUCAAACUUCUGCUGGUGGAGGUUUACGUGUAUCAGAUGUUAGUAAGGCUUGUUUACACAGAAAUAUUUAUAUAUAUUAAAUAGCAAAGAUGUUUUUCUCAAUCAGAAUGCACUCUACCUGCAUAUUAAAAUACUUUUUUGCUCAACUUUUGCUCUGUGCAGCACUUAUGGAACAAGUUGCUGCGCGCUGACCCUGUUCCGGCUCCUUAUCCCCACCACUCGUGCUGGGGGUGGGUGUUGUCUGAGAUGUGUCAGCAGAGAUGCUGCUGUGAGCGCUCUCCAGCCUGCGUGAGUCAAACCCGCGUGCUCAUUGGGGCAGUAAGCUGCUCCCAAAGUGCGUGAGUGUGGGGCAGUGGGAUUGGAGGCACCCAUCGUUUCCACCUGACAGCUGGAUUCAGCAAGAUGUCUCUGUCCUCUGUUGCUUCCGUGUUAGGUUGGUAUAACUAGGACCCAGAAACCUUGUGAUGCGGUUUCGUGACUGACUUGAGAGGAUGUGAUUGCGUGAAGCAGGACAAUUCAUCCAGAGAGGCAGACGGCUGGUCGGGCAGUGCACGUGCUGUGCUGCAAAGUGACCCUUUCCAGUGCGGACACACCAAACCAUGCCCUGGUUUUGCAGAACAGACGUGCGGAAACUUCCCGGCGGUGCUCGGACCCGCCAGCGUUCAAGGGACCUUUCGGCACUUCAGCUUUGCAGCACUGAAAACCACAAGCCUUUGAAAACAUGAAUCAGGCCUUCUGAAAUGGAGACGGGUUUAAAAAUGAUGAUUUGUUGUUUUUACAUUUGCCUUCUGAUUUUUUUCUCCUGCUGGGUCUUAUGUCUUCAAUCUGUUCCCUGAAACCAUGACGAUUAGAAAUCUUUUCCUGAUGAAAUUUGACAGUCUUGUGUAAUCACAUGACUCCAGGCACCAAUAUUGUGAGGAAAAGAAAUUUGGAACAAAAUCCUGAGAGCUCUCUCCGCUGACACUGAGACGCAACUUUUGAAUCAAGAACUUUCCAGCAUUUUGUAACUGGUACAUCAGGCUGGCAGACACACAAUAAAACUGUGAGCGGCCCUGGCGAUGUGGCAUCUUUGGCAUGGACUUUCCAAUGGCUUCAUGUUGUGCCGAGGAGUCGGGAAGCCUGGAGGAGACGUCUGAAGCCCGGGCUAUGGGGCAAAGAGGCGCUGGGACUGCCACCCUGCGAGGACAAGGCAUUCCGGGGGCUGCUGCACAAACAGCUGUGAAGCAGGGCAAAAGGCAACCUGGAACUGCACAUUUUCCUUCAUGCCAGUAGAUAGAUGGCUCGGGCUGAGGCGGUUGCAUAGACUCUAUAAAGCACGUGGAAGAAAAGUUGUCCUGCUGCUUCUCAGCCCCUGAAUUGAGUUGUCUGGUGGAAGAGCGAGUGUGCGAGGAAACGCAGCCCUGUCCUGUCCUCCCGUGCAGCCCUGACCCAGCUCCAGAGAGCACAUCACACAGGAGCAGCCCAGGCUCCAGCCGACUGAAGGGAGCGGUAAGUCCUGGUUCCAGUGGGGCUUUAAGUGACCAUGCGAGUGGAACUGAGAAAAACAUCUGCCAACAGUGGCAGCAGAAAUUGCAAAAUGCUGAGCGAUUCUGUCUUCUCUUGGCGGUUCAUCUUUAGUACCGAAUGUGCCUAAAAACUUGGGAUUCUAGGUCAGGCAGCCGGAUGUUUGUUCGGUCCAGAGGGUGGAACAGACGGUGAUUGUGUUAAAAAAAUACCGAGAAAUUUCAGACCUCACAUUUUUAAGCUCUGAUUUGAAGACAAGGCCAGGCUCUGCUGUGCCAGUGUGGUGCGAACCGUGCCCAGCGCUGUGGCGCAGGGUCGGGGAGGUUUUCUCACUGCGGGGAGCAGCUUGUGAUUUCCCAAAGCCCAAGCAGGCGAUUUCUCUCUCUUUCUCUCUCUCUCUCUCUCUCUCUCUUUUUUUUUCCCCUUUCUGCCUGGGAAGGAUGCAGCAUCACAGACCUUGUCACCCGGAGCUUAGAGGACAGCAACCAUAUGCCUUCCGACCUCCCCUUGCUUUUCUAGGAAAGAUUCAGCCUGCUGGGCAUUUUCUAUCAGAACGGUGAAGAGAGGAGGCUGGGAUGUGGCCCGGGCUGGCUCCCUGGUGCUGUGCAGGGGUGGAGGGAAAGGGGGAGGGCGACAAGGGGAGGAGGAGGGUGAGGAGACUGGGCUGCCAAAGAGGAGGAGGAGGGAUGGAAGAGGGGCGAGAUUGGCAUCUUCAUGUGCAUGAGGCCGGCCAGCGUCAGGACAGCUUGAUGAGCCCGCGGGCUGCUAUCUCUCGCCGUCGUUCUGAUCGCAGUGAUGCGCUUGUCUGGUGGCUUGGACACCAGCUUUCAUUAUCAUGCUCGGCAACAUUUGCAGAGGCGGGGAAGGAAGGGAAUGGAGGAGGUAGAGAAGCCCCGGAGUUACACACACACACAAAUCAGAGACAGGAAAGACAGAGAAACAGCUUUGGCUCCAGGCUAUUGAUCUUGUUCUGUGACACUUGCUCGGUUCCCACUUAGUGCGCUUCUCUGCUGUCGAACCUUCCCGGUACGGCUACAGCAGCUCUCCGUGAAAGAACAGUGAACACAGAAUGGUAGCAAAGGGCUUAGCAACCCAUGGGUUGACCCAUUGAUUUGAAGCCAUUUUGGAAUCAAUCCCGUAUGCUUGCGGCAGCACAAACCCUCUGACAUGUCUCCAUGCUCACCCAGACACACUUCCCCAUGCUUUUCUCACUGAUAUACACAUGCGUCCUCUUCAUGGGUCUGUAUUCAUGCUCCUUACCUGGGCUUCCAAAUGCUCAGACUCACUUUUCUCCCCCAGCCUCUCAGCAGUCUUGUCUUUUUGUCCAGGUAAAGGAAUCUGGAGGCAGAGCUGUCGAAAUGUCUGAGAAUAGUGAUGGUUUGGGGGGCCUGGCCCCUGAUGUUGCACUGUUAUUACUAAGGCAAUGACUUUAACCCCACCUGCACUAUAGGCAAACAUACCAGGAUGUUAUUCAGGCAACAUCAGACUGUUCUUGUUUCUUUUUACCUCAGUUGUAAGUUUGUUCCCUGUGAACUGGGCAUUGCUGCCUCAGUCAUGUGUGGCUGUUGUGGCAACAGCAGUUUUGAUCUUUUCCAUGGGUUUUCUGUUGGUUUGUUUGGUGUGGGGUUUUGGGGGUUUUAUUAUUAUAUUUUUAAAUGUAACCAACUGCCUGACCUCAGGGAAAGGGAAAGAAACUGCUGGUGGGCAGAGUCAAGUGAACCAGGAUUGUCACUGAAUAUCACAAGACUUCUGGUAAAAUUAUAUGACACUGUGCUGUGGCUGCCCAUACUUUUUGUCUUGUGAGGAUCUCUGGGGUUAUCAGACAGUUGCCUUCCCACCAGAACAUUUUGGGCAUGUAGGAGAUCUGCUGAGUUGAUGCCACUUUGCUGUUAGCAUCAUUUUCCUUUAUUUGGCUCCUUCUUCUAGAGCUUCUCCACUCCUCAGGCUGCAAGUUUAGUUCAACUGUAAGACCAAAAAGGAAUUUUUGAGUUAAUGUAAUUUCCCGGUUACUGUCUCCCUUUCUGGCCUGAACACAGACAUAUGCACAUGCAUGCACAGCCUAUACGUGCUCUGUAUCGCAGGCAUGUGCGCGGUCAGUUUUGUAUUGGGGAUGCUGGAAUGCCAUGGCUGGCAGGAGCUGCUCGCUGGAUUAGCUGGUAAAUCCAUCUGGAACUCCCAAUGGGAGGGAUGGGCAGCUUCAAGAUGAAUAACGGCUUGUCUGAAGCAGCAAAAUGGAUUAUUUUAUCAAAAAGAAGGGGGGGAAUACCCUUUUUCUCCUUGUGGACAUUUGCCUGAGAUGGAGGGGAGUGGUUUCAAGAAGAUAAGGAAAGAAGAGAUGGUUUUUGAAGAAGAAAUGAUUCCUACUGUGUUGUUCAAUACAGUUGUUGAUCCUUUCUCAGUGUAUUUAACUGCAUUUGGUCUUCCUAUUAAACUGUUCCUCUAUUUCCUAAAUAUUCAUUACACAUGUGAGACUGUAAGGGGCAAGGCAGCUCCUCAUCAGCUUUCCUAGUGACAUGAUGAGGAGGGUUUUUAUCAGUCCUCCUUGUCCUUCUUUUGCUGUGCAAGAUGUAAACCGCUUCCAGAAACGCGCCUCGGUGCUGACCCCCAGGCUCGGCCGCGGCUUUGGGGCUGAAGCCUCAGGGCUGUGCCGUUUCCUUUCCCGUCCAGAGAUUUGACAUUGACUGAUGGAGUAAAACCAGUCGCUUGUUUAAGAAAACCUGUGUGGAGAUCAGCCAGCUUCAUCUGGCAUUCAGCAACAACCGUACUUCAGACCUACCUGUGCAAAGGAAGCCAACCAGCAGAAACUGAAAUGCUGGCGAGAGUGGGGGACACUCUUUAUGAGCAUCGACAGGCCCAAACCAAGUUGCAUUUGCUGAUGUAUUGCUUAGAUAAGUGACUGAGGAAAUAAAAAUAGCUAUUCCUCCCCUUGCCCUCAUGCUGUUGCAUAAUGUUUCCUACACAAAGCCAAACACUUUGGAAUGAGAAGAGCUUUUCCUUUUUCUCUGUGGUUGCCUUAUCCAUCUACAGGGUUGCCAGUUGUAUUGCAGGCUUGCAAAAUACGUGGUGUGCAAGUCUGUGCUCUGCUGUGAAGCGCCGGCUUCUGGAAGUGUUUUGUUAUGAGAGACACUCAGAGCCUCUGUUUCU